This 326-nucleotide ribosomal RNA is filed under the name uncultured bacterium. RNAcentral's name for it is "bacterial SSU rRNA". It matches the Rfam family "Bacterial small subunit ribosomal RNA", at positions 28 to 334 of the family's 1533-position model. The record is from RNAcentral.
GAUGAACGCUGGCGGCGUGCUUAAUACAUGCAAGUCGAGCGAAGCACUUUAACGGAAUUCUCCGGAAGGAAGGUAAAGUGACUGAGCGGGCGACGGGUGAAGGUAACGCGUGGGUAACCUGCCUUAUACAGGGGGAUAACAGUUAGAAAUGGUUGCUAAUACCGCAUAAGCGCACAGGGCCGCAUGGCCCGGUGUGAAAAACUCCGGUGGUAUAAGAUGGACCCGCGUCUGAUUAGGUAGUUGGUGGGGUAACGGCCUACCAAGCCGACGAUCAGUAGCCGACCUGAGAGGGUGACCGGCCACAUUGGGACUGAGACACGGCCCAA